Molecule: transfer-messenger RNA, 227 nt
Filed under: Phenylobacterium sp.
Lineage: Bacteria; Pseudomonadati; Pseudomonadota; Alphaproteobacteria; Caulobacterales; Caulobacteraceae
Description: partial transfer-messenger RNA
Rfam family: Alphaproteobacteria transfer-messenger RNA
About the family: Bacterial tmRNA, also known as 10Sa RNA or SsrA, is named for its dual tRNA and mRNA-like properties. Its role is to liberate the mRNA from a stalled ribosome.
Source: RNAcentral
AUCGCGGGCAAGUGCGGGGCCGAUCAGCAUCGACAGACGUCUAAAGGUGAUUGCUUUCUUCCGGCUUGGCCCACCGCUUCGGGCCUUAAUCUAAAUGCGAACGAUAACUUCGCUGAAGAAGUCCGUCUGGCUGCGUAAGCGGUCCGAUAGAUUUCGACAUAAACUCCUAGCGUCUUAGCAGCGUUAGGCGGGGCCGGGAGGGGGCCUUGCAACAGAACCCCUCCACC